This 191-nucleotide unclassified non-coding RNA is filed under the name uncultured Pleosporales. RNAcentral's name for it is "sequence contains ITS1". The record is from RNAcentral. Lineage: Eukaryota; Fungi; Ascomycota; Dothideomycetes; Pleosporales.
CAUUCAGUAGCUUGCUACUGUUAGGGGGGUCUAUCAGCCUGUAUAGUAUCACUACUGAUGAGCAGCACGACUCUCUGUCUGUACCCUUGUCUUUUGCGCACUCAUGUUUCCUCGGCGGGUCUACACCCGCCGGCUGGACAACUCUAUAACCUUUUUAAUUUUCAAUCAGCGUCUGAAAAACCUAAUAAUUA